This 216-nucleotide ribosomal RNA is filed under the name Glomeromycotina sp. RNAcentral's name for it is "partial small subunit ribosomal RNA". The stretch from base 40 to 216 matches the Rfam family "Eukaryotic small subunit ribosomal RNA", at positions 686 to 864 of the family's 1831-position model. Lineage: Eukaryota; Fungi; Glomeromycota. The record is from RNAcentral.
GGGUCAGUAGGGUGGUCGUGCCACCGGUACGUACUGGUCUCACUGAUUCCUCCUUCCUGAAGAACCGUAAUGCCAUUAAUUUGGUGUUGCGGGGAAACAGGACUGUUACUUUGAAAAAAUUAGAGUGUUUAAAGCAAGCUAACGCUUGAAUACAUUAGCAUGGAAUAAUGAAAUAGGACGAUCGAUCCUCUUUUGUUGGUUUCUAGGAUUGACGUA